Molecule: unclassified non-coding RNA, 373 nt
Filed under: soil metagenome
Description: partial contains 5.8S ribosomal RNA, internal transcribed spacer 2, and large subunit ribosomal RNA
Rfam family: 5.8S ribosomal RNA (bases 1-121)
Source: RNAcentral
GAUGAAGAACGUAGCGAAAUGCGAUAAGUAAUGCGAAUUGCAGAAUUCCAAUGAGUCAUCGAAUCUUUGAACGCACAUUGCGCCCUUUGGUAUUCCGAAGGGCAUGCCUGUUCGAGCGUCAUUAUCACCCCUCAAGCCCUCGGCUUGGUGUUGGACGGUUUGGUGGAGGCCCCCUCGGGGGCUCCUGCCCCUCCCAAAGACAAUGACGGCGGCCUCGUUGGACCCCCGGUACACUGAGUUCUUCACGGGACACGUAUCGGACACAUGGGUUUACGGGACACGGUCUGGCUCCCCUCAGGGAGAAUCUUUCUAAGGUUGACCUCGGAUCAGGUAGGGAUACCCGCUGAACUUAAGCAUAUCAAUAAGCGGAGGA